GUUGCUAAGCAGCUAAAUCUACAAUUUAGUCACCUGAGAGACAAAAGGGGGAAGGGCUUACGUUUCUCUUUGUUCUGUGGUCACAGCUACACACCUUUGUUCAUUGAUAAAGGGUGGUACAAACCAUCUAGACGGAAAGGGCCAUGGAAACUACUGUUUCUUCUGAUGUUUGGGCACAGAACUGACAUCCCUUUGCUCCAGUCUUCCAAACCCUGGCCACGUGAACUAAGCCAUCUGAUUGCUGGGUAUAUCAGCAUCUAGUUUGUGCAAAAUUAUCUGAACUUAUUUUCGUUCCUGCUGAUGCAAGUGCCUGGUGGGUCAAAUCCGGAGGCGGAUGCAUGACAAGGUAUGGCUUCCAUGAAAAGAAAACAACGCCACACUUCUUCUCCUUUUGAUCCCCUGCCACUCAGCUACUUAUACAACUCUUCUCUCCACAAAUACUAAUUCAGCUUUUAAUUUGAAACUGUUAGGGAAGUUUCAGACAGGGAAAAUAAAGGAGUUAAAAGUAUGCCUGCAGCUCUAAAAUAUGUCAAAUUAGUGUAUUGAUUACUUCAAGCUCAAAGUACUUUGGAAACUGUAGUUCCAGAAGUGACUAUCUGACCUGUCUUUUCCUGCAUAUAGCAAGCCAUAAAACUUCCAUGGAGAAAGAUGCCUUCCCUGUGCCGGGACAAGAAAAUAACCCUAUCCCCAGGAUUGGAAAUUGUUGCUUCAGUAGACCUGUACAAAUAAACUAAAGUAACUCUUAUCUCCCAACUAGCUUUAUAACUCCUCCUUGACACUCCCCACCAGUAGAUCUCCUAGUGACUUCCCUGGAAUUCACUGUCCCUAGCUUAGAUCCUUUUGUGUCACGGUCCCAAUCCCUGUUGGACUGAACAAAGGGGGAUGAACGCGGGAAUAAAGACAAAGACAAAAGAGUAUUUUUGGUUGAAGGGGUCAGGGGGCUCCUUACUUCUAGUGAACAAGGGCUUUGAGUUUCUAGCUCCCUUCAUAUUUAUUGAGAAAAGAAGAUAGGGAGAAGGAGGUGGUUGUCAGUAGGCUGCUUGACUCGGCGCAGGCCUGCAUGACUGCAUUCUCUGAACAGUAGUCUCCAGAUGUUCCAGCAGAUAACCUCAAGGAGCAUGGCGCCAGGGAGUGAUUGCACCCAGCAUAUCUUCUGGCAGCUGUGAGUCUGCCCACAUCCUGCAUUCAUGAUAAAC
RNAcentral lists this long non-coding RNA (1196 nucleotides) under Homo sapiens (human). RNAcentral's name for it is "HSALNT0212718". The record is from RNAcentral. Lineage: Eukaryota; Metazoa; Chordata; Mammalia; Primates; Hominidae.